This 71-nucleotide transfer RNA is filed under the name Acanthemblemaria sp. AC-2023. RNAcentral's name for it is "tRNA-Ser". It matches the Rfam family "tRNA". From Rfam's summary of the family: Transfer RNA (tRNA) molecules are approximately 80 nucleotides in length. Their secondary structure includes four short double-helical elements and three loops (D, anti-codon, and T loops). Further hydrogen bonds mediate the characteristic L-shaped molecular structure. tRNAs have two regions of fundamental functional importance: the anti-codon, which is responsible for specific mRNA codon recognition, and the 3' end, to which the tRNAs corresponding amino acid is attached (by aminoacyl-tRNA synthetases). tRNAs cope with the degeneracy of the genetic code in two manners: having more than one tRNA (with a specific anti-codon) for a particular amino acid; and 'wobble' base-pairing, i.e. permitting non-standard base-pairing at the 3rd anti-codon position. The record is from RNAcentral. Lineage: Eukaryota; Metazoa; Chordata; Actinopteri; Blenniiformes; Chaenopsidae.
AAGAAAGUGGCAGAGGGGUUAUGUGUUCGGCUUGAAACCGACCUAUGGGGGUUCAAGUCCUCCCUUUCUCG